AUGUCAACUUUACCUUUGGGCGACGAGCCAACAAACAUUGUAUGCCCGCGGUGCGGGCAGUCCGUAUUGACGAAAUUGAACUAUAAAGCAACUACCCGGACCCAUAUAAUAGCUUUGAUUUUAUGUCUGAUGGGAUGUUGGUUUUGUGCUCCUGUGUUAUACUGCACUAGAUGUGCGCGAAAUAUUGAACAUUAUUGUCCGAAUUGUAACGCAUUCCUUGGAAUUUACGACCAUUAGACUAUUGUUUCCCUUAUUUCAUCUCUUAACUACAUUUGCCUUAUAUUAAGUUUGUGUCAAUAGUAAAUCAUUUCCAGUGGUGUCGGACAUAUGAACUAUCAUCCUCUCUC
This is an RNA transcript of Glossina fuscipes, 347 nucleotides long. It is a transcript of the gene named lipopolysaccharide-induced tumor necrosis factor-alpha factor homolog, with no coding region annotated. The record is from RefSeq and is a predicted model, not a curated record. Lineage: Eukaryota; Metazoa; Arthropoda; Insecta; Diptera; Glossinidae. The transcript is spliced from 3 exons.